CUGGUAGGAGACCGAUAGUGAACAAGUACCGUGAGGGAAAGAUCAAAAGCACUUUGAAAAGAGGGUGAAAAGAACCUGAAACCGUUACGACAGAAGCGUAUUGCGUUGAAUUGAGGGCUGUUUAACUCUUCAGCUGAACGUGAGUUUAGUGUACUGAGUUAAGUAGUUAUCCGUCGUGCCUUUUCUGUGGCUGAUAUUGAGCCGCGGGAGAGGGAGGGAUCCCCUUUAUGGGUGAGGACGAUGGAGUGGCAACGCGAUGCGACCCGUCUUGAAACACGGACCAAGGAGUCUAACAUGUUUGCGAGUUGAAGGGUAGUAAACCUGGAGGCGCAGUGAAAGCGAACUUCUAAAACGGACAGUUUGUGGCGGCAUAAAAUCGUUGAUUUUAGGUCUGACUAAGAGCAAAUAUGUUAGGACCCGAAAGAUGGUGAACUAUGCUUGAGUAGGCCGAAGGCAGAAGAAAUUCUGCUGGAGGGCCGAAGCGGUGCUGACGUGCAAAUCGCUCGUCGAACUCGAGUAUAGGGGCGAAAGACUAAUCGAACCAUCUAGUAGCUGGUUCCCUCCGAAGUUUCUCUCAGGAUAGCGGGCCGACAAUUAUUGUUUUGUGCGGUAAAGCGAAUGAUUAGCGCACUCGGGGGCAUUCAGUCUUCGGUCGAUUCUCAAACUUUUAAUGCGCAAGGGGGCUGCAGCUUAGGUGUGCGGCUCCUCUAAAAAUGUCGGCCUUGUGGGCCACUUUUGGUAAGCAGAACUGGCGAUGUGGGAUGA
RNAcentral lists this ribosomal RNA (765 nucleotides) under Lomentaria articulata. RNAcentral describes it as "eukaryotic LSU rRNA". It matches the Rfam family "Eukaryotic large subunit ribosomal RNA", at positions 323 to 1166 of the family's 3401-position model. Lineage: Eukaryota; Rhodophyta; Florideophyceae; Rhodymeniales; Lomentariaceae. The record is from RNAcentral.